UGUUAAAAAUUUCAUCUAUUUCUAUUGUUAAAAACUAGCAUGACUGAUAGAAUAACUAGACAAUUACACGUGACAUGCCAUGUAUACCUCAUUCUAACAUAUAUUGACAAUUUUUUAACAGCAAAAAUAGAUGGAGUUUUUAAUA
Molecule: microRNA precursor, 145 nt
Filed under: Gossypium raimondii (Peruvian cotton)
Lineage: Eukaryota; Viridiplantae; Streptophyta; Magnoliopsida; Malvales; Malvaceae
Description: MIR7502 microRNA precursor family
Rfam family: MIR7502 microRNA precursor family
Source: Rfam by way of RNAcentral